CGCCUUUUGAAGUAUAAACAUAAAAGGUCCUGCCUGCCCAAUGACUUGUUUUAAUGGCCGCGGUAUAAUGACCGUGCAAAGGUAGCGUAAUCAUUUGUCUCCUAAAUAGGGACCAGUAUGAAUGGCAAAACGAAAGCCUCACUGUCUCUCUAACCCAGUCAAUGAAAUUGAUCUUCCCGUGCAGAAGCGGGAAUAAAAAUAUAAGACGAGAAGACCCUGUGGAGCUUUAAACUUAAGUUAACAAACAUAAUGCUUUAACACCCAGUUUUAGGUUGGGGCGACCAUGAGGUAUAACAUAACCCUCACGAUAAUAAACAGAAGGACACUUCAAAUAACUAAUAUAGCAUAUUGACCCAAUAAUUGAUCAACGAACCAAGUUACCCCAGGGAUAACAGCGCAAUCCGCUCAAAGAGUCCAUAUCGACGAGCAGGUUUACGACCUCGAUGUUGGAUCAGGACCCCCAAAUAACGCAACAGUUAUUAAAGGUUCGUUUGUUCAACGAUUAAAGUCCU
This 512-nucleotide ribosomal RNA is filed under the name Bolitoglossa mexicana (Mexican mushroomtongue salamander). RNAcentral describes it as "partial 16S large subunit ribosomal RNA". It matches the Rfam family "Bacterial large subunit ribosomal RNA", at positions 1819 to 2597 of the family's 2925-position model. RNAcentral also lists the same sequence under 1 other name. The record is from RNAcentral. Lineage: Eukaryota; Metazoa; Chordata; Amphibia; Caudata; Plethodontidae.